RNAcentral lists this transfer RNA (73 nucleotides) under Bos taurus (domestic cattle). It matches the Rfam family "tRNA". From Rfam's summary of the family: Transfer RNA (tRNA) molecules are approximately 80 nucleotides in length. Their secondary structure includes four short double-helical elements and three loops (D, anti-codon, and T loops). The record is from Rfam by way of RNAcentral. RNAcentral also lists the same sequence under 4 other names. Lineage: Eukaryota; Metazoa; Chordata; Mammalia; Artiodactyla; Bovidae.
UCCCUGGUGGUCCAGUGGUUAAGACGCUGCACUGGCAGUUCAGAGGGCUCAGGUUCGAUCCCUGGUCAGAGAA